Cinclus cinclus is the source of this 231-nucleotide long non-coding RNA. RefSeq lists it as uncharacterized. Lineage: Eukaryota; Metazoa; Chordata; Aves; Passeriformes; Cinclidae. The record is from RefSeq and is a predicted model, not a curated record. The transcript is spliced from 3 exons.
GGGCUGCGCGUUGUAAAGUUUCCCUCGGCAACUGCUAAAAUUAUUCACAAGGCACUGCAGCAUGGCAGCAGCUAUCAGCUUUGGAAGCUUUGGAAUGUGCCCUUCUAUGAUUACAAAUACUGGCUGCAUUAGAUUGGGUCCUAACUGCUCAUCCAUCGACUGGGUUAGGACCAGGAGCCUGCCUGGCACAGAGAUGUUCCCAUAGUCUACAACUGCAGUAGCUGAGUACCU